AGCGCAGGCUAGGCUUCAAGUCUUUUAUUUUUAAGUCUGGAAGAACUCACAUAUCUGUUAAAUGCCAUUUGGUUAGAAGAUAAGCAAGGAAAAAAAAAAGAAAAAAGAAAAGAAGGAAGGAAAAAGAAAACAAAAAUCAUAGUCACAGAUAGAGAACACUCCAGGUUCUUACUACAGCAAAAGAAGUUAUUCAAGUAGCAAAUCAGUCAGAUUACUGAGUAACACAACAUGACCCCCAAGCAUGGAUCCUUCAGCCUGAGUCUUACAACAGCUGGACUGGAACUUCAGAGCCUAGAUUGCUAAACCCCAGUCUGAAACAUAAAUAUAAGUUGGCUUGCAAACCUCUCAGAAAGAAAGAAAAGGCUUGGAUGUGUGAGAAGUUGAAUGAAGAGGGUCUCUAUACGUUUAUAUGUUAGAAUACUUGGUUCCCAGUUGAUGGGGCUCAUUGGCAAGAAUUAGCAAAUGUGGUCUUAUUAGAAGAGGUGUGUCACUGGGGAUGGGUUUUGUGGUUUAAAAGACACCAUUCCCAGUAUGCUCUAUCUGCCUCCUGUUUGUGGAUCAAGGGAACCCUCAGCUGCUGAUCCAGCUGCCUGACACCAUGCCUUCACUCUGCCAUUAUAGACUCAAACUGUUUAGAACCAUAUGCUCAAAUUAAAUUCUUUCUCUUGUAAGUUAUUGGUCACGGUGUUUUGUUAAAGUAACAGAAAAGUAACUAAGACAGUAUGUUACCCAGUUUUGGUGUCUUUAAAAACAGACAAUGCUAGCUAGCCAAGGACAGUGGCACGGGCCUGUGGUCUUGGGAGGUCGGGCUAGAGAAUCAGGAGCUCAAGGUAAUCUUCAACUACUGGUGAGUUUAAGGCCAGCAUGGGCUAUGUGAGACCUUGUCUCAAAAUUUAAAUAACAGAAUUUGUUUUAAAAUAGGGCCUUGCUGUACUAUCCAGGCUGGGCUACAGUUUCAAGGAUGAAGUAAUUCUUCCACUUUGGACCCCAAAGUCAGUGAGACUGGUAGAAAGGCCUGGAGAGUUUUGUUUUUGAGAAAUAGUCUCAUUGGACAGCCAUAGCUGGCCUGAAACUCAAUAUGUAUACCAGGUUGGCCUUAAACACACAGAGAUCUGCCUGCUUCUGUAGGAAAUGUGUGCAUGAUGAUGCACAGUUUGUUUUGGUUUUUAGACAGGUUUUCUAUCACUCUGGAGAUCAGGAAGUCCUCAAACUCACAGCAAUUCUCCCAUCGCAGCCCUGUGAGUGCUUAGAUUAAAGGUGUGAGCCAUUAUGCCCACUUGGUAUCUUUUUCUGUAGCACUGUAUGACAGUAGUUGUUGUGGAGUUGGGAAUGAGACCUUUUGUUGUUGGUUUCUUGAGAUGGGGUUUCACUGUACAGCUGUAGCUGGGCUAGGACUCCUGACGAUCCUUCUGCCUCUACCUCCUGGGUACUGGGCUUACAGGUGAGUAUCAUCACAUCCAGCUAUAAAAGAAUACUUUUCAUUCAACAUUGUUUUUAAGGUCUUGUAUUUUGAACCAUACAAUUUUUUUUUGUUUAUUUAUUUUGAGGCAUGGUCUUACUUUAGCUACCUGAAAUUUACUAUGUAGACUAGGUUGGCUCAAACUCAGAGAUUCACCUGCCUCUGCCUCCUGAGUAUUGGAUUAAAGGUGUACUUCACUAUGCCUGGCCUAUUUAUUAACUUUUAAAGUACCCUGUCAAGUACAUAGUAUAUUAAAAUGACUCAGGAAUAGUUAAACUCUCGGAUUGCUAAAUGGUUUCUUCCUUCCUUCCUUCCUUCUGUCCUUCCUUCCAUUCUUCCUUUCUUCAUUUAUUUAUUUAGUUUUCUGAGACAGGGUUUCUCAGUGUAGCUUUUUAUUUUUGGCUGUCCUGAAACUCAAUCUGUAGACCAGGCUGGCCUCGAACUUGCAGCCAUCUGCCUGUCUCCCAAGCUAACGGUGCACAACAGCUGUUGAUCUCCCAGAGGUACCAACAGCCCUACCUUUAAAAUGAUUAACUGACAAACCUGUUUGGGUUGGGCAGUGGCCUAUGACAUCAGAGAAAUUAUAGGCCUUAGAACAGCUGAUUUAGGAGCAGCUAAAUGCUCAAUAUAAAGAAAAAUCAACCAGCCCUUGGAAUUCUCCUGUAUUUUUGUAUUUGUUAUUAAAAAGAAAUCUGGAAAAUGGAGAAUGCAGACAGAUGAGAGAGCCAUAAAUAACGUAAUUCUGCCAGGGGACUCUCUACAGCCUGGAAUUCCUUUGCCUUCUCUGUUACCUAAAGGAUGGCCUCUCAUAGUUAUUCAUUUAAACGAUUGUUUCCGCACUAUACCUUUACAAGAAAAGGACAGUGAAGGUUUACUUUCAUGGUGCCUUCUUAUAACAACUCUCAGCUUAUUAAGAGACAUCAACGCAAGUUCCUCCCACAGAGGAUAUUAAACAGCCAUACCCUGUGCCAAUAUUUUGUGCAAUAACCAUUGGAAAUAAUUUGUUUACAGUUUCCACAAUCUAUAAUAUACCAUUGUAUGGAUGAUAUUUUAUUAGUUGAUUCAAAACUGGGUACUUUAGAAAAAAAUGUUUAAAGAAAUAAAAUUUUGCCUUGUUGGGGAUUACAAAUUCCUCCUAAAAAUAUAAAGAGAAAAUUCUAUUAAUUACUUAGGUAUAAAAUAGGUCUACAAAAAAUUUGACCCCAAAGUGUAUAACUCAGGAGAGAUCAACUGCAGACUCUUGAUGACUUUCAAAGAUUUCUAGGAGAUAUUUCCAAUCUUCAGCCCACUAUUAGGAUAAAAACUAAUGAACUGCAUACUUUGUUCCAUACUUUAGAAGGUGACAAGGGUUUAAAUAGUCCCAAGAAAUUAUCAGCAGAAACCGAGAGAAAAUUGGCUUUGGUGAAAGAAAAAUUACAGAAUGCACGUGUGGAUUGUGUGGAUCCGAAGCUUAAGUACAGUCUGGUUAUGUCACCCUCCAGUCACCCUACAGGGAUUCUAGUGCAUAGGGAAGAUAUUAUCUUGGAAUGGAUACUUUUUACCUUGCAAACAGAGUAAGAAAUUAAAGAGGUAUGUGAAAAUUUUUUCUGAUUUGAUUCUAAAAGGAAGAUUAAGACUUUAUCAGGUGAGAGAAAUUGACCCAACAGUAUUACCUUUUACUAAAGAGGAAGUUUCCUCUUUAUGGGCAGAAAAUGAAAGCUGAAAAAGAGCUUACAGUAAUUUUUUGGGAGAGAUCAAUAACAGUUAUCCCCAAAGCAACCAUUUGAGUCCUUCCCCACAUAGUAAGGAAAACACCAACAUCUGGAACCUCUACAUUCUAUACUGAUACAAAGGCAGGUUACAAAUCAGAAAACUUAAGCAAAGUGGUUCAAAGCCCUUAUAAUUCUGUAUAAUUCUAUACAAAAUUCAAAAUUGUAUGCCAAGAUUCUCACGAUACUAAUGGACUUUACAGAGCCUCUCAACAUAUUACCAACUCUCAAUAUACAGAAAGAGCUAUUUUACAUAUUAAAACCACUAAACUUAUUCCUGAUGAGUCAGAAUUAACUUCACAUUUAUACAAUUACAGGAAAUAGUCAGUGCCGGGUUCUCCAGCAGAAAGGGCAGACCUGGACCUGCCAGACUUUCCCUGGGGCUGAGCCGGAUGCAAAGAUAGCGGUCAAGUCACAUGAUUGCGUCCACCUUAAAGAAGGCAAAAUGACUGCAAACCAUCUGGUUGCUUUUUUGUUCAAGAUUCUGCAUGGUGGGAAGAGAGAACUGAUUCCUGCAAGUUGCCCUCUGACCUCUACGUGUGUCUUAUGGCAUGUACCACCCCAUCUAUAAAUAAAAAUAUGCACGUUGGGGGGAGGUUGCUGAUUUGUCAUGUACAAACUGACAUACAAAUCUGUUACAGUUGUUUGACAGACACCUGCAGGUUGCUGCCCAGGUCCACCCCUCCUGCCAGACUCAUGCCAAGGCCAGCCUGCAGAGGGUUCUCCAGAUAUGCUAGCCCCUGCACCAACCAAGGAUGCUAACUAAAUGAGUACCUACAGGUUGACUUUACCCACAUGCCCACUCAUAAAAAACUGUUUAUCUCCUAACUUGUUAACACUUUUACCUGAUGAAUAGAGCCAUUUCCUGCCUCCAGGGAAACAGCAGAUGUGAUGGCUCCUGUAUUCUUGGACCACAUCAUCCCUGUUUGGCAUGUCAUCAUCCCUCCACGCUCCUGGAACUUCACUGCUGCCACUGCCUUCUCUGCCUCCUCAAGGAUGAUAGUUAACCGAAUGCUUCUCCACUCAUACCUCCUGCUGAGUAUGACUCCUAAUUUUCUCUCCCCACGUUGUUCUGUGCCUGCAGGAAGUACCCAAACUUGGACUAGCACCUCUAUACCCAAGGAGUCUGAGAUGUUUAGGUGGAAGUCCUACUGGCAUCCAUAUAUACCCAAAAAGGUUGGAAUGUUUGGGAUCUCCAGCUUGGGGCUCCAUUCUAUGCUAAACCCACCUUCAGUGCAUCAGGUGGUGGCCCAUCCCCUGGAGCUGCCCUUUACAAACUCCUCACUUGAGAAAAGUCAGCCCCUCCUUUGGGCUCCUCAAGACCACGCCUAUAGGCUGCUUAAGACCUGGUAGCCAUAUUUGCCACGGUGAAGCAUGAUUAAUAAAACUCAGGGUCAGAAAUUGGGGUUCAACCUGAAAAUCUGAAAAUCAAAACAGCCAGCCAUUGGCUCUUACCUCGAUCUCAGUCUGACAUGGUGAUCCUGCCUCCUGGUGAAAAGACCCCAACUCAUUUCAGUUACAGUUAUGUCGUUUCGCAAAGGUUCACACAAACAAGCUCAGUUCAGGGAAAGGUCCCCGGAAUGCUGAGCAAAGCAGGAUACCUGAGGUCAGAGUGAGGACAGCCUUAUCGGGCUGCAGAACAGGGGAUUUAUGGUCAGACAUCUGGCAAGAUAUCCAGGACAGCCUUAUCAGGCUGUAAGGCAGGAGAUUUAUGGUCGGACAUCUGGCCGGAGAUGGGAGUAAAGACUACAAAGACGACCAUAUGUGCUUAAGAUAGAAUCAGGUAAGUUAUCUGGUUUCUUUGAUCCAGGCCAAGGACCACGAGACCUGCCCUCAAAUUCACCCCUCGCCUCAUUCAAACUGGCCAGUGAGAUCCCUGUAACCACGCUUUUAUUUCUGUACUUUGCUUCUGCCUAUAUAAGUUACCCCAAAACACAGCUCAGGGUGCUCAGUUCUCCAUGUGACUGCAGUACCCACAGGCCUGUGAACAAUAAAAAUUGCCUCUUGUUCUUGCAUCCAGUGGCUCUCGGACUUGGUUCUUGGGCACGGGUCUCCACAUGUAAAAGACACCCUUUGGGGUGCUCUUUCCUUUCACUGGAAUCUCAGAAGGAGGCUGUGUGACAGCUGUUUAGCCUUGUCUUAUAUUCCUUUCUAGGGCUGGGAUUAAAGGUGUACAC
Molecule: long non-coding RNA, 5384 nt
Organism: Myodes glareolus (Bank vole)
Lineage: Eukaryota; Metazoa; Chordata; Mammalia; Rodentia; Cricetidae
Source: RefSeq, a predicted model, not a curated record